Molecule: small RNA, 166 nt
Organism: Shigella dysenteriae Sd197
Lineage: Bacteria; Pseudomonadati; Pseudomonadota; Gammaproteobacteria; Enterobacterales; Enterobacteriaceae
Source: Rfam
AUUGAACUCUUAAGGUUCACUUAAUCUCUGACGCGCAUACUCUCCUCCAGGUUAACGGAGGAGAGUGCAAUGAAAAACCGUGUUUAUGAAAGUUUAACUACCGUGUUCAGCGUGCUGGUGGUCAGCAGCUUUCUUUAUAUCUGGUUUGCCACGUUCUGAUCUUUCU